UGGGUUUUUGCCUCUGGAUUAACUAUAUAAACGAGCCACCGUGGAAAUUUACAGAUCUUAUUUCCGCCGGAUAAAAAUUGACUUUACAAUCUGCACUUCGACUACAUCAUAGUCUUUUCGUUUCACCUUUAUCGGUUCGUCUUCGCGUUUUGUGUGACACCUGUGGAUUACCGUAAUACAACUAUCAGUUAGCAAUGGACGCUGCCGGAAAAGCCAACCGCACCAACCAGUGCAAUCCGACCCAUGAGCCCUCGGGACCGGGUCACAACGCCGGAUACAAGGGCGACGGGAGCAAAGCCGACCGAGACAACCAUUCCAACCAGGGAAAUCCCAAUAAUGCCAAACACGGCGGCGGUCAGCAACAGCAGCAGGGAAAGGGAAAGAACUGAUUCCCCGCCUACAAUGUGUUCAUCGUGUACAUUCCUACCUGUACUCUAAUAACGAUCUUUUGCAGUAAUUUGUGGUAAUGAAUGUUUUUUAGUUUGUUAUCAUUCGAUAGGAUGUAUGUUUCUUUAUGAACGAAAUCUGAGAACGAUGAACGGUGUUUCUGCUUUGAAAGGGCGUACUUUCUGUGUGUUGUACUGAUACUAUUCCAGUAAAUACAAAACUCUGAUUAAAAUAAGCGGCGCUUUGGUGGAUUGCAAUGAAAUCUUUAGCACA
Molecule: long non-coding RNA, 660 nt
Organism: Paramacrobiotus metropolitanus
Lineage: Eukaryota; Metazoa; Tardigrada; Eutardigrada; Parachela; Macrobiotidae
Exons: 2
Source: RefSeq, a predicted model, not a curated record